Molecule: ribosomal RNA, 190 nt
Filed under: uncultured rumen bacterium
Lineage: Bacteria
Description: partial 16S ribosomal RNA
Rfam family: Bacterial small subunit ribosomal RNA
Source: RNAcentral
CCUACGGGAGGCAGCAGUGAGGAAUAUUGGUCAAUGGCCGAGAGGCUGAACCAGCCAAGUAGCGUGCAGGAUGACGGCCCUACGGGUUGUAAACUGCUUUUGCGGGAGGAUAAAGUGCGCCACGCGUGGCGCUUUGCAGGUAUCCCGUGAAUAAGGACCGGCUAAUUCCGUGCCAGCAGCCGCGGUAAUA